ACCACGCGUGCCCAUCCCGAACACGACCGUUAAGCCCUCCAGCGCCGAGGGUACUGGGACCGCCGGGUCCCGGGAGAGUAGGUCGCUGCCGGGC
This 94-nucleotide ribosomal RNA is filed under the name Candidatus Reconcilbacillus cellulovorans. The record is from RNAcentral. Lineage: Bacteria; Bacillati; Bacillota; Bacilli; Caryophanales; Paenibacillaceae.